Long non-coding RNA from Xenopus laevis (African clawed frog), 672 nucleotides. RefSeq lists it as uncharacterized. NCBI's taxonomy places the organism in Eukaryota, Metazoa, Chordata, Amphibia, Anura, Pipidae. The transcript has 3 exons. The record is from RefSeq and is a predicted model, not a curated record.
GAAUGUCCCUGAUUGGCUUGGGGCGUUUCCUAUAGGAGCGGGCUCUGACUGAGUAUAGGUGCUAUACUGGCUCCUCCCACUUGGGAUUUAAUUACAGAGGAGAGGACGAACCGGUGCCGCUACCUGAUCUGCAGGUGCUACUGUUGCUGGGAGCCCUCUUACAUCGCCUUUCCUUUGUGGCUUCCUGCUCUUCCUCCGGCCUCCUCAGCAGGGCGCCCCCUGCAAGUUCAAGCCUUGGUGUUCCUCUUGUGAUGAAGGCAAUGGGGCCAGCUCGCACUGUUUGGACUGCCAGGGGAAGAACUGCCUGCGAGCCCACCAGCGCAUCCGACUUUCCAAGGACCAUGGCUCCUUCACAUGCUGCACAUGCUGUGAGAAGAAUAUCGGAGAUAGCCAGGGAGGAGAAAUCCAGCGCAGCACGAUGGAUCUGAAGAGUAGCGGAAGUGGAGUUUCUGAAUAUGUCAAAUCGUAUCUUACCUGUAAAUUUCCCUCCAUCCAAUUGUGCACUGUGGGACCCACCUCCCAUGGGGGAUACAGCUGGCUUACAUUUCAGCUAUUACAGAAAUCCCAUAUUGCUUGUUUUGGGAAAGGCUUUGUGGCUUUCUUCUCGUCUUGCAAAAACAGGGAGAAAGCCUUUUUCCUGUUUCUUGCUGGGAACUUUUUCAAUAGAUGAAG